AUACUACUCCCUCUGUCCUUAAAUUUUUAUUUUAAAUUUAUCUAGAUACGAAUAUAUCUAAUACUAAAAUGCGACUUGAUACAUCCGAAUUUAGACAAAUCUAAGAUAAGAAUUUUCGGACGGAGAAAGAAGUAU
Triticum urartu is the source of this 135-nucleotide non-coding RNA. Lineage: Eukaryota; Viridiplantae; Streptophyta; Magnoliopsida; Poales; Poaceae. The record is from Rfam.